AAAAUAUCUAUCCUCCCUCUAAGCCUAGGUAGAAAACUAAGUUAUAAGACAAGGAUGAACACGAUAUAUGGUACUUUUUAAAAUCUGGUUCCCAAAGAAAUAAAACAUUUUAAAAAGAAUUUUAAAAUAAUGUAUUUAGCUUAUGCUGAGUAUAUAUUAGUGAGCAACUAAUUUAAAAAUAUUUAAGGAAUAAUAGUCCCCUCUGUUAUAAUAAAUUACUAUUGACCUAAUUUAUUUAUUAAGCUUCUCUUCUUAUUUGGGUAAUUAAUUCUAAGAAUUAGAACUUGUUUACACUAGUAAAUAUACUUUUAUUAUUUUCUUACUUAAAUAAGUUUUAUCAAUUUUAAAUUAAAUAUAAACUAAAUAACUUGAGAUUCUCCAAACUGUUUAACAAAGACAUAGUAAGACUGUGUCUUAUGUAUCUGCCCAAUGAAUAAUUUUUUAUGGCUUUAAAGUAGCGCAAUAAUUAGUUUAUUAAUUGUAAACCUGUAUGAAGCUAGCAUUGGUUAAUCAUGUUUAUUCUUAUCUGUUGAAUCUUAGUUAUCAGUACAAACGCUGAUAUGCCCCCCGAAGACGAUAAGACCCUAAGACCUUCACCUUGUUUGGCUGGGAUAGCCUACUUAAUAUAAUAAAGAAACCUUAAUUAUUACGAACCAAUUAUUUUGCUAUACAUAGGUACCUUAGGGAUAACAGCGCGGAAUACUUUUAGAGCUCUUAUUUAAAAGAUAUUCGUGACCUCGAUGUUGAAUUAAGUAAUAUAGUGCUGCAGAAGGUGCUAUUUUAAGUCUGUUCGACU
Molecule: ribosomal RNA, 796 nt
Filed under: Lepeophtheirus salmonis (salmon louse)
Lineage: Eukaryota; Metazoa; Arthropoda; Copepoda; Siphonostomatoida; Caligidae
Description: partial 16S ribosomal RNA
Source: RNAcentral